Molecule: transfer RNA, 49 nt
Filed under: Heliotropium arborescens
Lineage: Eukaryota; Viridiplantae; Streptophyta; Magnoliopsida; Boraginales; Heliotropiaceae
Also listed under: 2 other names
Description: partial tRNA-Val
Source: RNAcentral
GGGCUAUAGCUCAGUUGGUAGAGCACCUCGUUUACACCGAGAAAGUCUA